GACGAACGCUGGCGGCGUGCCUAAUACAUGCAAGUAGGACGCACAGUCUAUACCGUAGCUUGCUCCACCAUAGGCUGUGAGUUGCGAACGGGUGAGUAACGCGUAGGUAACCUGCCUAUUAGAGGGGGAUAACUAUUGGAAACGAUAGCUAAUACCGCAUACAGUAUGUAACACAUGUUAGAUUCUUGAAAGAUGCAAUUGCAUCGCUAGUAGAUGGACCUGCGUUGUAUUAGCUAGUAGGUAGGGUAAUGGCCUACCUAGGCGACGAUACAUAGCCGACCUGAGAGGGUGAUCGGCCACACUGGGACUGAGACACGGCCCAGACUCCUACGGGAGGCAGCAGUAGGGAAUCUUCGGCAAUGGGGGGAACCCUGACCGAGCAACGCCGCGUGAGUGAAGAAGGUUUUCGGAUCGUAAAGCUCUGUUGUUAAGGAAGAACGAGUGUGAGAAUGGAAAGUUCAUACUGUGACGGUACUUAACCAGAAAGGGACGGCUAACUACGUG
RNAcentral lists this ribosomal RNA (504 nucleotides) under uncultured bacterium. RNAcentral's name for it is "partial 16S ribosomal RNA". It matches the Rfam family "Bacterial small subunit ribosomal RNA", at positions 28 to 507 of the family's 1533-position model. The record is from RNAcentral.